Molecule: ribosomal RNA, 382 nt
Filed under: uncultured bacterium
Lineage: Bacteria
Description: bacterial SSU rRNA
Rfam family: Bacterial small subunit ribosomal RNA
Source: RNAcentral
ACUCCUACGGGAGGCAGCAGUGGGGAAUAUUGCACAAUGGGGGAAGCCCUGAUGCAGCCAUGCCGCGUGUGUGAAGAAGGCCUUCGGGUUGUAAAGCACUUUCAGUAGGGAGGAAGGUAGUGUAGUUAACACCUGCACUAUUUGUACGUUACCUACAGAAGAAGCACCGGCUAACUCCGUGCCAGCAGCCGCGGUAAUACGGAGGGUGCGAGCGUUAAUCGGAAUUACUGGGCGUAAAGCGCAUGCAGGCGGCCUGUUAAGUCAGAUGUGAAAGCCCGGGGUCUUAACCUCGGAAUUGCAUUUGAAACUGGCAGGCUAGAGUCUUGUAGAGGGGUUAGAAUUUCAGGUGUAGCGGUGAAAUGCGUAGAGAUCUGAAGGAAUA